This 253-nucleotide ribosomal RNA is filed under the name uncultured bacterium. Its description in RNAcentral is "partial 16S ribosomal RNA". It matches the Rfam family "Bacterial small subunit ribosomal RNA", at positions 524 to 776 of the family's 1533-position model. The record is from RNAcentral.
UACGUAGGGGGCGAGCGUUGUCCGGAAUCAUUGGGCGUAAAGCGCGUGUAGGCGGCCCGGAAAGUCUGGUGUGAAAUCUUGAGGCUCAACCUUAAGCUGUCACUGGAUACUGUCGGGCUUGAGUCCGGAAGAGGAGAGUGGAAUUCCUGGUGUAGCGGUGGAAUGCGCAGAUAUCAGGAGGAACACCUAUGGCGAAGGCAGCUCUCUGGUACGUGACUGACGCUGAGACGCGAAAGCGUGGGGAGCAAACAGG